UAUAUUACAGGCAGCUGCACAUGAAGGUCACGAUAAAUUUUGAACGAUACGAUCCUCAGCAGGACACAUGGUCUAAGAUUUGCUCUUUGAAUGUUGGCCAUGGUUAUAAAGCUUGCGUAUCGCUAGAUAAUAAACUAUGGGUUAUUGGUGUCGAUGGUGUAUCAGUCUAUGACGAGGAAAGUAACCGUUGGGAACAAAAGUGCGCAUCACCCGGAACUGAUGUUAUUUCCUGUUUUGUUGUGCCAGUAGCCUUACUGACGUCGAAUGAAUAACCAAUAUUAAUAAAUAUAUUUUUUGUAAUAAAUUCUUUUAUAAUAAAUACCAACAAAUCUGA
Long non-coding RNA from Bactrocera neohumeralis, 334 nucleotides. RefSeq lists it as uncharacterized. The transcript has 2 exons. The record is from RefSeq and is a predicted model, not a curated record. Lineage: Eukaryota; Metazoa; Arthropoda; Insecta; Diptera; Tephritidae.